This 329-nucleotide ribosomal RNA is filed under the name uncultured Paraprevotella sp. RNAcentral's name for it is "bacterial SSU rRNA". It matches the Rfam family "Bacterial small subunit ribosomal RNA", at positions 352 to 678 of the family's 1533-position model. Lineage: Bacteria; Pseudomonadati; Bacteroidota; Bacteroidia; Bacteroidales; Prevotellaceae. The record is from RNAcentral.
UGAGGGAAUAUUUGGGUCAAUGGGCGAGAGCCUGAACCAGCCAAGUAGCGUGCGGGACGACGGCCCUAUGGGUUGUAAACCGCUUUUGAUUGGGAACAAAGAGCGCCACGUGUGGUGCGUUGCGUGUACCUUUCGAAUAAGCAUCGGCUAAUUCCGUGCCAGCAGCCGCGGUAAUACGGAAGAUGCGAGCGUUAUCCGGAUUUUAUUGGGUUUAAAGGGAGCGUAGGCGGGCUGUUAAGUCAGCGGUCAAAUGUCAGGGCCCAACCUUGGCAUGCCGUUGAUACUGGCGGCCUUGAGUUCACACAAGGAAGGUGGAAUUCGUCGUGUAG